RNAcentral lists this ribosomal RNA (650 nucleotides) under uncultured marine bacterium. RNAcentral describes it as "bacterial SSU rRNA". It matches the Rfam family "Bacterial small subunit ribosomal RNA", at positions 96 to 781 of the family's 1533-position model. The record is from RNAcentral.
CGGCGGACGGGUUAGUAACGCGUGGGAACAUACCCAACUCUAAGGAAUAGCCACUGGAAACGGUGAGUAAUACCUUAUACGCCCUUCGGGGGAAAGAUUUAUCGGAGAUGGAUUGGCCCGCGUUAGAUUAGAUAGUUGGUGGGGUAAUGGCCUACCAAGUCUACGAUCUAUAGCUGGUUUGAGAGGAUGAUCAGCAACACUGGGACUGAGACACGGCCCAGACUCCUACGGGAGGCAGCAGUGGGGAAUCUUAGACAAUGGGCGCAAGCCUGAUCUAGCGAUGCCGCGUGAGUGACGAAGGUCUUAGGAUCGUAAAGCUCUUUCGCCAGGGAUGAUAAUGACAGUACCUGGUAAAGAAACCCCGGCUAACUCCGUGCCAGCAGCCGCGGUAAUACGGAGGGGGUUAGCGUUGUUCGGAAUUACUGGGCGUAAAGCGCACGUAGGCGGACUAUUAAGUUAGAGGUGAAAUCCCGGGGCUCAACCCCGGAACUGCCUUUAAUACUGGUAGUCUAGAGUUCGAGAGAGGUAAGUGGAAUUCCGAGUGUAGAGGUGAAAUUCGUAGAUAUUCGGAGGAACACCAGUGGCGAAGGCGGCUUACUGGCUCGAUACUGACGCUGAGGUGCGAAAGUGUGGGGAGCAAACAGGAUUAG